GUCGUGACUUCGGACGAAAGAGAGAUUGAUAAUUAUGAGGUAAGUUAUCGUACAUUUCUUAACAUUGAGGGCGUGUCCAUCUAUCUCAGGAGAAGAAUAAAAGAAUUAGCAAGGAGGGGAUUCAGAAUUGGCUGAAUUUGUCCAAAACUGUUUUACUUUGUUUUGCUUUGUUAAAAAAAAAAACUAAACAAACCUCGAAGUGGAUGUAUUUCAAGGCGCUGUGGAACUUUUGAAAAUGCUGAUGUCUUUGCUCUUUGCAUCGUUGGCCGGGAAAUAAGAUACCAAUAAUGCACAUGCUCAGUGAAUGCACUAUUUCUAUUGGCGACCCGUGUCCACUUGUUUUCACUUUUAUGAUCAGUUACCAGAAGAAACGGGGACUCUAGGAUCUAGGAUCUGGAAGGGAAACUAAAAUUCCCUCAGGGUAUUGAUAAAGAAGGAUGGGGGUCUGAAAGGUUGUGUAACAGCUAUUUUUACGUCUACUGAGUUAGCAUCUAUCAGCCGCCAGAAGGAGUUUCUAAAGCUGACCUUUGGAGCGUUUGCCCUUCGCCACUAGAGAAUCAGAGCCAAGAGCCAAAGCUCAGAACCUCAGCUUUGAAAAGUCUUUACGGAAGCUGAUUUACAUGGGCAACUCACUUGGAUGGUACAUUUGAAACUAUUGACACAGUUGGAGAUGGUGGUAUUUCACCAGUUGAGUUGGCGGAAGGACUUGAUAUCUCUAUACUGAUUGCUAACCGAUAUGUGGUAGCUUUUGACGCGAAUCGAGACGAAGAGCUUGAUUCUAAGGAGUUUUCAAACUUACCACUACAUGAACAGUAAUGCCAUAGUUAAACCUCAAUAAAUGGGUGCAGUUCACAAGAAAGUGCCAGGAAGCGCCCACAAAA
Long non-coding RNA from Stylophora pistillata, 881 nucleotides. The record is from RefSeq and is a predicted model, not a curated record. NCBI's taxonomy places the organism in Eukaryota, Metazoa, Cnidaria, Anthozoa, Scleractinia, Pocilloporidae.